AUUAUUAUAUUUAUUAAAGUUUGCUUUGUAUUCAUGAUUACACUUAUUCAUGCUUUAUAUUUAUUAUUGUUUUUAUUAAAGCGACUUCAUUAAAGCUCGGUUUACAUGUAUAUUUGCACUUAUUAUUUGCUUGCUUUGUGUUUGUUAAUGGUUGGUUGAAAGCUUGGACUUGAAAGAAGGAAUAUAGAUUUAUUAACUUCUUUCAUUAUUCAUCUUCUUUCUCUCUCAGCUCCAAAUUCUAAAUUCUAAAUCUCUCAUAGCAACCUUCUACAUUUCUAUAAUAGAGUUAAAGAUCUUAGUUUAAUUGGAAGCAACUAGAUUGGUGAGUCUUUAUUGCUUAUGUUUUCAUUGUGUGAAUAUAUGAUUAAUUUGAAACUCGAGUUGUAUGAAACAUAUUAUAGAAUUUUAUGGACAACAUGAAUAUUUUAUAUUAAAUCAUGGCCAUUGAAAAUGAUUUUUGAGAAUAAUUUUAUUUGUGCAUAACCUAGACAUGUAGGGGUUAAUGACUAAAUUUAUUUCAUAAGACUUAACCUUGUCUUCAAUUUUAUAUAGAUUUUCAAGUUAGACACUAUUGUACUUGAAAACUAUGUUGAGUCCAAACCCAAAUUGCAUUAGUUUGGGCAUCUAAGUAAUUAAAGAAAACAACAUGGGAUUAAAUGAAAUUUUCCUUUAAAAUAGGUUUGUCAUUCAUGUGGCUAUAUAAAAGAAAAAAAAAAAGCAAGCAGUAGCUACAUACUAAAAAGAAGAAAAGACAAGAGAGAAAAAGAGAGAACAAUGGCGUUUUCUCUAGAAUUAGGAGUAAGAUUUUCAAUUUUUGAUUAGAUAAUCAGAAGGUGAUUUUAACUUUAUUUUCUUCCAAAUUUUGAGGGUAAGCUUCUGACAUCGCCCUCUACAAUUCUACUAGUUUUGAUUUUUGUUUUAUCAUCUCAUUGGCUAUUAUUUGAAAUACCCACUUGCUAGAGAGAUAUAUAUUAGGCUGUUACUGUAAGCCAAGAAUAUUGGGAUUCUUGAUGUUGUUAGCCUCUAGUAUUAUCAAGAGAAGAAUUUGUGUUAUAAUUCCAUUAAUAUGAUGGAAGAUUAUAUCGAACUACGAUCCCCUGAUUUUUCCAUUUUGGGUUUUCACGUAAAAUUUGUGUUUUUUAUGGUUAAUUUAUUACUUUGGAUUUUCUUGAUUUAUUUUUCUGCCUAUUUAUUUGUGGUAUACAUUCUGUUUUAAUCACACAAAGAGGGAAAGAAGUUUGUCUCCGCUUAGUUUACAACUGCUUGUGUGAGUUCCUUUCCCAAUAGAGUGGUAUCAGAGUGUCAAGUUAUAUUUUUUUUACUUGUGUGGUUGAGAUGGAGGAGUCCUUGACAUGCAUGAUUAAAUUAAAAUAAUGAAAUUAUGGUAUUUGGAAGUCUAGAAUGGAAGAUUUACUAGACAUGAGAGACGUACAUGAACCCAUUAAAGGCGAAGAGCUUAGACCUGCCUAUUUAGAUGAUAAGAAAUGGGUGCAAUUAAGUCAGAAGACUGUGGAUACUAUUAGGUCAUGGAUUGAUCAAAGUGUAUACCACCAUGUAGCGAAGGAAUCCGGGGUUGAUGUUCUUUGAAGGAAACUGGAAACAAUUUAUGAGCAGCCAACAACAUAGAACAAAGGCAAUUUGAUGAAAAUGCUUGUUAACUUGAAAUACAAGGAGGGGCACAAUAUAACUAAAUAUACUAGUGAGUUUUAGGGCUUGGUUGAUCAGUUGAUUAGUAUGAAAAUUAUUUUAGAUGAUGAGUUACAAGCAUUAUUGUUGCUUAGUUCUUUGCCUGACAGUUGGGAGACACUAGUGGUGUUAAUGAAUAAUUCAGUGCCAAAUAGGAAAUUAACCUUGGAUAUGGUUAUAGAUAGACUGAGAAAUGAAGAAUCUAGAAGAGAGAAUAUUUAAGUAGUUUCUUAUGAGUCAGAUGCUCUUGUUUCAAAAAAGUAAGAAAGGUGAAGGAGAAGCCAAAACAGAAAUUCCUGUCUGUAGAACAAUGGUACCCCCAGAGAAAGAUCUAAGUCCCAAAGAAGAAUAAUGAAAUGCUUUCAUUGUCAAAAAAUGGGUCACGUUAAAAGAGAAUAUAAAUUGUAGAAAAGAGAAUCGGCGAAAGAACAGGUUGAUGCUCAGAAAAAUGACAAAAGAGAACAUUGUAGCCAUUGUUGAUGGUGAUAUAGGUAUUGUUUAUGAUGUAAGAUUUAUAAAUCUCACUUGCCAUACCAGUGAUUGGGUGAUUGAUUUAGGUGUUUCGUUUCAUGUUAUUGCACAUUGUGAUUACAUCACAUCUUAUAUUAAUGGUGAUUACAACCAUGUUCGGAUGAGAAAUGAUGAGGCAUCCGAGAUUGUAGGCAUCAGAGAUAUUUGUUUGGAAACCAACAUUGGCUGUAAGUUGUUGCUUAAAGAUGUCAGAUAUGUACCUGACAUUCGCCUUAAUUUGAUCUCUACAGGCAAGCUUGAUGAUGAUAUACUAACUAAUUUGGUAAAUGAAAAUGAAAGCUCACUAAAGGUUCCCUAGUGUUAGCUAAGGGGGGGAAAGUAAACACUCUCUAUGUGAUAGAAGUCAAGGUCAAGAAAGAAGACGUGAAUAUGGCUGUAAAAUCUUUUGACAUUGAGACAUGGUAUAAAAGGCUCGGUCUUAUUGGUGAAAAAGGGUUAGGAACUCUUGCUAGAAAAUGAUUUCUACCCAACUUCGCAGGUAUGUCCCUCAAUACUUGUGUUCAUUACUUAGUUGGAAGGGCGCACAAAGUAGCUUUUAAAAGCUUUUCUCCAUCUAGAAAGUCACAAAUCCUUGAUUUAAUUCACAUAAAUGUUUGCAUAAUACAAAGUAGAUCAAUAGGAGAUGUACUUUAUUUUAUGACUUUUAUUGAUGAUUGUUCUAGAAAAAGUGUGGGCUUUUGCUUUAAAAUCUAAAGACUAAAUGCUUGGUACAUUUAAGUUCUUCCAUGCUUAUGCUGAGAGAGGGACAUGAAGAAAAUUAAAAUGUGUCAGGGCAGAUAAUGGUGGUGAAUACAGAGAACCAUUUAAGUAAUACUAUAGAUCCCAAGAAGCAGACUUACUGAUAGAAAGAUAGAAACUUAAAGAAAAAAUGAUUAUGUUCGAGAUGGUUAAACACAAGGAAAUUCGCCAACUAAGAACAUAGGGGAAACAUUCUACACCAGGAAAAGAUCCCCUCGAUUUAUCACUUGGAAGAAUGGAAAGCUUUACUGAAGGAAUAGUAGACCGGACAUCCGGUAGACAUAGGAGACUAGAAAGCCCUGAUACGCCGAAGCCCUUGAUUCUGGUCCUUAGGCUAACUUACAAUUAGUCAGGAAUUGCGUAAGAGAAGAAAACAUAAGUUAUCAUGAUUUUAAUGCACAAGGAUUAAUGACAUUUCCUUGUCAACUUAUUGAACAAGACCAAAACCUUCAACAGGUACUGGACCAACUUAUUGAGGAGGAACAAGUACUGGACGGCACCACAAGUUCAUUAUUAAUAGAUCGAUUUAACUAUGCUAUGCCCCCCUUCUUUGCCACCGGCAAACUUUUCAGUAUUGAAUUCAGGUGCCGGAACAACAUCCUCUAAAGCAAUGGGCACAGUCGAGCUCGUGGUGUCUGUCUUUGUCUCUGUCACAGUCUAACCUAACUGUUCAACCAUUUCCUAAUAACGAUCAUAGCAUAGCUCCUUCUCAGUAGGUCUACUUGUGACAAUUCUUUCUAAUUAAGUGUCUGAAAUAAAAGUUGUCUUUUAGGGCAUCUCAUAAGAACAUAGAACCAUAUUCAUUAUGUCAAAAAUUAGAGAUUCUAGUACUUCGACUAGAAUUAGUUUUCAAUAGAUUCGUGAAAAGAUGUAUAAGUCUCGGUAUUGUAAUUGUACUUGUGGCUAGUUAUAGUUAGAGUCUUGCACCUGUGCCAAGUGGUAAUAGCAAGCAGGCUAAGUUCCUUUCUCGUCUCAGACUUAUAAUUGAUUUAUCAGCGACAAUAUCAAAUCAACAAAGAUUUGGUGUUACCUGAACAUCAUCCCCCUGACCUUGAGACGUUUGGAAUGGAAGAAUAAUCCGAGUUUGCCCAUACCAACCACAUGUUUUCAUUUUAGAGGGAAUCUUAUUCGGGAUCAAAAGAGGGCUAAGGCCUAACGUUGUUAGAGGAGACCUUCUCUUACUGGCAUUCACUUGGAGCUCUCUUUUUAGGGCAACCCUUUCACCGAUCUUUAAACUGUAUGAGAAGUUGUACUACUAACUUUGUCUACAGUGGGUGAGUGUCGAUUUCAUUAAAAACAUAUAUUAACGUAUAUAGAAUAGAAAUAUGAGCAACUAUUGCCCACUGAUGUUAGCGCAAAGGUCCUUAGUCAAACAUAAGGAUCUUAUUCAUUAAAGGACGGAAAAUGAAGGUAAACCAAGAGUACCGAAACUCAUCAACAAGUAGGCAUGUCCACUACUUAAUCUUUAAGUAUUAGUAAUGUUACUAGGCACUAUACAUAUCUUCCAGUACUUUCAAUCGGGAAAAAUAACUAUUUAAGUGGAAAGGCCUAUCUAUACGGUUCAGUUCUCUUUAGACUUAACCAAUUCGACUAGGGUAGCCUGUUUAGGUGUUAGAUAAUGUCUUCUUAGCCUUGGAUUUUCUUACCCUUAGGUUUUUUCUUCUUUAUGGAUUGCAAUUGUUUGGUAAUAGCCGGCACUUUAGAAAUCUUAGCAAACCUUUUCCUUUUUUGUAGGAGCUCAAUUUUGGAUGACAUCCUUAGAUAUCAUUCUUCAGUUUCUCCUUUUCUUGAUUGAGAAUUUUAUCACCUAAAACAAGUUCAAUCUCAAUCUGAGAAUUAAGUGAGGUAUCAUUGUUGAGUGUUAGAAAUUGUAUAUUUAUAAAAGAGAAAAUCAUAAUUUUACACUUCAAGUCUCACUACAUCCAUACUUUUAUAUAUUUAAGUUUGUGAUUUAAUUAUGUGUGUUUUAUUUUAAUUAAGUAUUUUAUGUAUUUUAUGUAUUUUAUGGGCAUCAUGGUCAUUUCACAAUCAAUGAGAGAUCAGAUAGCAAAGCGGACAAUAAUUUUGGACUUAGGACAGUCGAAAACCUUAUGAGGAGUAUAAAAGGGUAAACGACACUGUUCACAUGUACGGUACUGUACAUGAGACUGUUCACAACACUGUUCACAUAUAUGAUAUGAUGACAUGGCGUUGACCGAUGACAUGGCACCAACCAAUGACGUGGCAGAAUUCGAUUGAACGAAUGAUGUGGCAUUGGCUGCUUAUGUGGCGUUGACUGAUGAGUUGGCGUUGACCGAUGAUUUGUCACGAUGCUAUUGAACUAAAAUGUUGAUGUGAUGUUGAUCAGUGAUGUGGCAGUAUGUUAGUGGACCAGGAAACGUGCGUAUGAUACAUGUAUUACACAAAAUGACAACCUUGAUGAUGUGUUCUAUCUAAUCAGAACUUGCCACGUGGCGCAAUCCUAAGCGUCCAAAUUGUUUUAAUAUGUGGCCAUGAUUGAAUCAUUGUAUCUAAAAAAGGGGCUCUGCCCCUAAUUUGACACCCCUGAAUCCAUUUUUUAGCUCCAUUUUCUAUAAUUCCUUCUCCAUCUUGUAUUUUCUAUGUAUUUUAAUAAAUUUUUAUUUUACCCCUAAUCCAAUUAUGAGUAACUAAUUUUCUUUUAUGCUUAGGUUGAAGGUGAAGUCUCAACAUGUUCCAUGAGCUUAAUUUGGUAAAUUUACUUUCUCUUCCCCUCUAAUAUCUGUGGAUGUUUUGACUUUUCAUCGACAGAUAAUAAUAAUCUUGUCUAGACGUAGUAGAAGGUUAUUACUAUUUGGCACGAUAAGCUCUUAGCAUCAUAUUUAUUUGAGUGUGGUUCAUGAGGAGUAGAAAUCCCCCUUAUGAUUUAAUUGACAUUAAUAAGGAAUAUCUAACUCAUGAUGCAUGUUGAUACAGAUCCAUAUACCUAAACACUUUAUUUCAAUAGUUUCCAGUUUAAUUUAUUCCCGCCAUUCCAAUUUAAAUUCUAGGAUAAUCUAAAUCAAUUUCACCACAAAUCCAACCACCCACUGAGAAAAUUUAUUCUACACAAUUAAAAUCCACCUCCUCGUGGGAUCGACACUCGUCACCAUUGAUUUAUUCUACAAUAGAUUCGUGCACUUGUGAGUUCAAUAAAAUUUGCACAACAAGUUUUUGGCACCGUUGCCGGGGAGGUAAGUUUUUUUAAUUCGUAGAAUUAAUUUUUGUAAAUAAUUUCUUUUAGUUGUUUUCUUGUAAUUUUUUUCUUAUUAAAAAAAAAGAAAAAAAGUGAAUCUGCAUUUUAAGGUAAGAAUUUUUUUUCUUUUUCUAUUCUUUAAAUUUUUGUAAUUUAAUUUUCAAGUUAUUUUUUUUUGUAAUUUUUCGUUUAUCUUGUUAAUUUAUUUUAAUUUUAAUUAAUUUAUUACACGUAAUUUUUUUUUCUAUAGCACUUGAAUGUAUUUUCAUAGUAAAGUUGUAACAACGUGAUAAGAUUAGUAUCGUAAUUUCUCAUUCUCCUUUAUUUUUACUAGUUUUGUUUUCAUUUCUUUUGUUAUUUGCAUUCAUGGUCAAAUGUCGAAAUUACCUAAUCUUGAGCCCAUAGACUUUGAACUGAAAAAAACACUUCGCACACACAAACACAUUAAAAAUAAAAUUGAAAUGAAUAUUCAACAACAGCAACAAGCACCACCAGAGAUGUCAUUUAAGGAUUACUUCAGUCCCUUAGCUAACUUGAGCACAUCAUGCAUAAGAUACGCAAAUGUAGCUGCUAGGAGUUUUGAGUUAAAACCUAGUAUGCUAAAUUGUCUCCCAACAUUCUAUGGCCUAGAAAAUGAGAACUCAUAUAAUCAUCUAAAUGAUUUUCAUGCUGUUUGUCAAACUUUUAAAUAUGAGAAUUUUUCAGACGAUGAUAUUAAACUUAGACUAUUCUCAUUUUCUUUAAAGGAUAAAGCUCGUUCAUGAUUCAAUACAUUACCUACUAAUAGCAUUUCACAUGGGAAUAAAUGGUAACAAAAUUUUUGAAUAAAUAUUUCCUAGUGCGUAAAACCAAUGCUAUUCGCAGGGAACUUUCAGAGUUUACCCAGAGAGAAAACGAACAGUUUUUCGAAGCAUGAGAGCGAUUAAAUGAGCUACUUUUAAAGUGUCCACAUCAUGGGUACGAGAAAUUGCACCAAUGCCAAUACGUUUUGGAGGGAUUAUUGCCGCAUGUGCAAGAAUGGCUAAUGACAACAAGUGGAGGAGAGCUAAUGUAAAAAAGUGCAUCAGAGAUUUGAGAUUUCUUCUAGCGACAAGUAAAUAAUUCCCAACAACGGAGUUGAUCACUCAGGAAUACUAAAAGAAUUAAAGAAGUGAAUGAGGUUCACAUUGGCGAGUCAAGUUCAGGAAUUAAAGAAGUCAAAGAGAUGAUUGAAGGUUUUUCCCGACAAAUAGCAUCGUUAACGACUGCUAAAUCAAUAGAACCACAUGACCAUGACUCAUACUCAGAUCAAGCCAAUGCCAUAUGUGUAAUGAGAAAACCAUCAAAUUACAACCUAUAUUCCAACACAUAUAACCCUAGAUAGAGAGACCGCCCCAAUUUUUCAUGGUAUCAAGGAUUCCAACAGAAUGGACCAGCAGUUUCAGCUUCACCAAUGUAACAAAUUCCUUAAGUUCUUUAAGCCUCUCAGCCACCAUUUAGACCAUACAAUUAGAACCAGAACUACUCUCAACCCAAACCAUGGGAAGAUGCAUUCCAGAAUUUCAAAAACUUUACUCAAUCCACGAUUGAGCAACAGAACCGCACCAUUGAUGAACUACAAAAUGAGAUGAGAGUAGACUUUAACUCACAAGCCCAAUCAAUUUCAAACCUCGAGAAGAUGGUUGGACAGCUUGCCUCUUCAGUUCAAACUUUGGCAAUGACUGUUGAGAAAGACAAAUUCCCAAGUCAACCUAUGCCUAAUCAUAAAGGAGUGCAUGAAGCACGUAUCAGUUCACCACAGCAGCAUGGAAAGGUCAAAGCCGUCAUGACCUUGCGAAAAGAAAAAGAAGUCGAUAAUAAAAUAGAGAUGCCGGUGACAAAAACAACUCAAAUUGUACCUAUGAAUACUGAGGACUCAUCAUCGGAGGAGAAAGAAGAAACUAACCCAUAAGAAUACGUUCCCAAAGCUCAUUUUCCUUAGAGGUUAGCUAAAGGAAAGAAGGGAAAAUCCACAGGUGAAAAUUUUGAAAUCUUCAAACAAGUAAUUGUUAACAUCCCUUUACUUGAUGCUAUAAAAUAAGUGUCAUCUUAUGCCAAGUUUCUUAGAGACCUUUGUACUAAAAAGAGAAAUAUUCAUAUUCAAAUGAAUGCUUUUUUAACAGAAAACGUUAGCUUUAUACUCCAACACAAAAUUCCUCUAAAAUACAAAGACCCAGGCUCCCCCACUAUCUCAUGUAGCAUAAGGAACCACACAAUUGAGAAUGUUUUGUUGGACUUAGGAGCUAGUAUAAAUAUGUUGCCUUAGUCAGUAUUUGUGAAACUGAGACUAGGAGAAUUACACCCAACUCCAAUGGUGUUACAGCUUGCAGAUCGGUCCACGAAAAUACCUCGUAGUAUUGUGGAGGACGUGCUUAUCCAGGUAGAUAAGUUUUCUUUUCCUGUUGAUUUCAUUGUAAUUGACACUCAACCAAUCCAGGAUUUAAGAAGUACAUCCUCAUUUUCUUAGGUCGACUUUUCUUGGCAACUGCUGAUGCUCCCAUUCAAUGCAGGACUGGAAAUAUGCAGUUGUCCUUUGGCAAUAAGGCUAUGGAGCUAAACACCUUCAACAUUGCCAAACAACCUAACAAUGCAGGUGAUAGAAUUGUUGAUGUGGAUUUAAUAGAAGCAUUAGUUGAUAAUACUUUUCUUUCAAACCUUAGUGAUCACCCUUUACAAACAUGUUUAACUCAUUUUGGUUUAGAUUUUGAUAUUGACAGAUCAAUCGAUGAGGUCAACGCCCUACUUGACUCAGCACCAUCCAUGACCACUAAUAAAUGGAAGUCAAGAGUUGAAUAACUAGUACCGUCAGAGAAGAAACUCAACCCAUCAUCAGAAUCACCACCAAAACGCGAGCUUAAACCAUUACCCAACACUUUGGAAUAUCUGUUCUUGGGAAAAUUAAGCACUCUGCCAGUAAUCAUCUCAUCAUUCCCUAAAUGACGAACAAAAAGAUAAGUUGUUGGAAGUGUUAAAAGAACACAGAGGGGUAUUAGGAUGAACCAUAACUGACAUAAAAGGUAUAAGCCCAAUAGACUACAUGCAUUACAUUCACCUUAAUGAAAAUGCUAAACCUAUUAAGGAUAUGCAACGUCGGUUGAACCCUAACAUGAAAGAAGUUGUUAGAACUAAAGUCCUUAAGCAAUUAGAUGUAGGUAUCAUUUACCCUAUUUCUGAUAGUUCAUGGACCAGUCCUAUACAAGUUGUCCCCAAAAAGUCAGGAGUCACAGUAGUUACCAAUGCUGAUAAAGAAUUGAUACCCAUUAGAGUGACUACAGGGUGGCGUGUAUGCAUUGAUUAUAGAAAGUUGAAUUCUGUCACACGUAAGACCAUUUUCCUUUAUCAUUUAUCGAUCAAAUGCUUGAUAGAUUAACAGGUCAUAAAUUUUAUUACUUUUUCGAUGGCUACUCAAGAUAUAAUCAAAUUCCCAUAACACCAAAAGAUCAAGAGAAAACCACUUUCACUUGCCCUUUUGACACUUUUGCAUAUAGGACGAUGUCAUUUGGAUUAUGUAAUGCACCUACUACAUUUCAAUGAUGCAUGUUAAUCAUUUUUUCUUAUAUGGUUGAACGAUUCCUUGAAGUCUUUAUAGAUGACAUUUCUUUCUUUAGUGAUUCAUUCGAUCAAUGUUUACAUCAUCUAACACUAGUUUUGUAGAGAUUUAUCGAGAAGAAUUUGAUAUUAAAUUGGGAGAAGUUGUUAGCCUAAAGGGCUACACAUAAUGUAAUUUUGAUGAUAACAAACAUGUGUAUUAAGUGAUUUAAUAAAUAUUGUAUUUAACAUUUUCACUAGUUUUUGAAGCGUAAAAUUUAUGCAAGUGAAUCAAGUGAAAUCAAGCUCAAGACACUCAACGGACAAUGGCGAAAUCAAGAAUAAAGUUUAGAGCUCAAUGGAAAAAUUAUUGCAAUAACUUCUUGUAAAGCCGGUAUGAUUUAAUUGAUGCAUGAUUUAACAUUUGAGAAGCUCAAGAGAUUUAUUUAAACAAUUACUUUUUAUAAACUAAAAGGUUUUAUUUUUAUAAGGUAAGGUAUUUUGUGGAUUUGAGUAAUUUGUACUUAAAUGAAAAGUUUUGCAAUCUUUGAUUUUAAUAAGUAUUAUUUUGAAUUAAGGAGUUGGACCUUUUUGCAAACAUUUGAAAUGUUUUGGGCCAUAAUAUAAUUUAUGAACAUUUUGGACUAAAGAGAACGAUUUUGAGAACUUUGAAAAAUAUGGGUAUUGUGUUAAAAUUUUGAAAAAGGACCUCUUUGAAAAAUAAUAAUAUAUUUGGGUUAUUUCAUAAGUUCAGAAAGUUUUGAAAUGGCAAUCACUAUUUAAAAAUUAUGAAAUUAGACUUAUUUACAAAGUUUUAUAAUAUUUUGGGCCAUAAUAUAAUUAUAAAAAGUUUUGGGCCAAAGUGUAAUUGUGCUGAACAAUGUUAUUGUAGCAAAAUUCAAAAAUAGAGGUAAAAUCACUGUUACAAGCGGCUAGCCAGUUAAAUCAAGUAGCUAAUUGCUUGGUUGCGGGAAUUGGUCUAUAACGGCUACUUUUCGGGCUUUAACUAUAAAAACUCAACUCCAACUUCAUUUUAAGAACUAAUGCAAGCAUAAAUAAGAUCAUAUAACAUAUAUUGAGCUUCCAAAUCGUAAAUCAUCAUAGACUAAAUCAUUAUUGUGCUAUUAUUUGCAUAUAUACUCUUAAAGAGAGUUUUUGUUGUAAUUUUCAUUUCUUAUCAAAUUGUGAGUGUACAAGUGUGAGAAACACUUGGGGUGAAGAGAUUGGGGAGAUAAUCUCUUGAUUGUAAAGGUUCGUUGACACCUUAGAAGUCAAUUGUAAGAACUUAAAGCCUUGGGAGGCUUAGAUAUUAAAAUCCUCGAGCUUGGUUGGCUUGGAGGUGUGGACGUAGGCGGGGAUUGCUGUACCAUGUAAAAAUCCGUGUGUUUAUUUUUCUUUUCCCUUACUCUUUAUUGUUAUGCUUGUUUGAAUUUAUUGUUUUCUAUUCCAUUAAGGCGUUAGAUUGAUUUGUUGUGCGAAUUGUAUUGCAUUAGUUUUAAAAUCCCAAUUCAUCCCCCUCUUGGGUUGCAUAACUUGCAUUUCAGAAGUGCCAUUUUAUGGUAAAAUAAGGUAUAGUUCUCGGUCACAUCAUUUCAAGCAAAGGUAUUAAGGUUGAUAAAGCCAAGGAGGAUCUCAUUUCCAAUCUUCCUCCACUUAAAACAGUUAGAGAAGUAAGAUCUUUACUUGGGCACACUGGUUUUUAUAGACGUUUCAUUAAAAAUUUUAGUAAAGUUUCUCGACUCUUAAGCAAUCUACUUGCUAAGGAUGCACCUUUUGUCUUUGAUUAUUCAUGUCUUGUGGCAUUUGAAAAACUAAAACGAUUGUUGACAUCAUCACCCAUCAUUCAGCCUCUAAACUGGAGUUUACCAUUUGAGCUUAUGUGUGAUGCAUCUGAUUACGCAGUAGGAGCAGUAUUAGGAUAAAGAGUUGAUUGAAUUCCCCAUGUUAUUUACUAUGCUAGUAUGACAUUGAAUGAUGCACAAUUGAACUAUUCAACCACUGAAAAAGAAAGGCUAGCAGUAGUGUUUGCAUUAGAGAAAUUUCGAUCUUAUCUCAUUGGUUGUAAAAUAUUGUGUUCACAUAUUGUGCUUGUCUUAAAAAUAUCUUUUUACAAAAAAAGUUGCAAAAGCUAGACUAAUUCAUUGGGUGUUACUUUUGUAGAAAUUUAACUUGGAAUUUAAAGAUAAGAAAGGCACAAAAAAUAUUGUGGCUGACCAUCUCUCUCGUCUCCAUUUUGACACAAUAAUUAAAUUAUUACCAUUGAAUGAAUCAUUUCCAGAUAAACAAUUGAUGAAUGUGGAAGUAUUACCAUGGUAUGCUGAUAUAGUUAAUUAUCUUGUUACAGGUCAAUUUCCAGAGCAUUGGACUAAGCAGGACAAAACCAAUUUUUUUACGGAAAUAAAGAAUUUCUUUUGGGAUGACCCUUAUCUGUUCAAGUAUUGUGCAUAUCAAAUAAUCAGACGAUGUAUCACAGAAAGUGAAUUUUAAAACAUUCUUUCAUUCUGCCAUGAACAAGCUUGUGGAGGUCAUUUCAGCGCUAAGCAAACAACUACUAAAGUUUUACAAUGUGGUUUCUAUUAGCCAAUUAUAUUUCGAGAUACUCAUAUUUUUGCUCUUCAUAUUAUAGGUGCCAAUGAAUAGGGAGCAUUACAAGAAGGAAUAUGAUGCCACUAAAUCCAAUUUUAGUGGUUGAGAUUUUUUAUGUAUGAGAUAUCGACUUCAUGAGACCCUUACCCCCUUCUUUUGGCCAUUAAUACAUAUUGGUUGCUGUUGACUACAUAUCAAAAUGUGUAUAAGCAAUUUCAAGUAGAACCAAUGAUUACAAGGUGGUGAUAGGAUUUUUAAAAAGCAACAUUGUGUCACGCUUUAGAUUUCCUCGAGCAAUAAUCAGUGAUGGUGGUGCCCACUUUUGUAACAAAUCAUUCAAAGCUCUUUUGACAAAGUAUUCCAUCACUCACAAAGUGGCGACCCCAUAUCAUCCGCAAACCAGUGGCCAAGUUGAGAUCUCCAAUCGAGAAAUAAAGCACAUAUUAGAAAAGACAGUGAGGCCAAAAAGAAAAAGAUUGAUCAUUAAGACUUGAUGAUGCAUUAUGGGCAUAGAGAACAACUUUCAAGACCCCGAUUGGGAUGUCACCCUGUAGGUUAGUGUAUGGAAAAACUUACCACUUACCUAUAGAACUUGAGCAUCGUGUGUAUUGGGCCAUCAAGAAAUUCAACUUUGAUAUGCAACAAGCUAGCUCAGAAAGAAGAUUAUAGUUGUCAGAACUUGAAGAAAUUCGCAAUGAUGCAUACAAAAAUGCCAAGAUUUACAAGUAGCAAAUGAAAGUCUUUCAUGACAAGCAAAUUUUGUGAAAAUCUUUCACCCUAGGUCAGAAAGUGCUUUUAGUCAAUUCUCGCUUGCACCUAUUCCCAGGUAAGUUACGCUCUCGAUGGUCUGGCCCCUUUAUUAUCCAUACUGUUUUUCCACAUGGGGCAGUUGAAAUUAAGAAUCCAAAGAACGGUGUCACUUUUAAAGUUAAUGGUCAAAGAUGAAAGCGAUAUCUAGAGUACCAAUCACAUAAAGAGGACACUGAAAUAAAUUUGAGUGACCCACCAGAUUUGCAUUGAAAUUUUUCUUUCUUUUCGAUGAUUUAAUUUUUUUCUUUAUUUUUUUACUAUUCUUUUGCUAAUUGAAAUUGUUUUUGCAUAAUUGUGUUUGUUUAACCAUUAAAUUUUCUUUUAUCAUUGUUAAUCAUGAGCGCCUCAGCUAAACAGAUCCUCUUGGACAUUCUUAGACGACUUCAACGUGUAAAAUCUCAUCUUAGAAGCCAUAUUUGAUUUUGUAAAACACAUUAUAUUUGGGAUCUACAACCACCAAAGUUAGUAUCCCAUGUUGAGGCUUUAGAAAGACAACUCAAAGAUAUUGAGGGAGGUAUCUUUGACAUCCAGUUGGAGCUUGAGGUAAAUUCAUAAGAGGACGAUUGUAAUUUUCUUUGUGUGUUUUAGUUUUUACUCUGUUUGUGUGUUUUUGUUUGUUACCCCGGUUAAGUGGCGGAUAACGGUACUCCGUGACAAUCAAGUCGGUUACUUCAGUUUUCCAUAACAACUGAUAUUCUGAGGCGAAGGUAUAGACAGAAACGAGAUUUUAGCAAAGCUUCACAAUCGAUUCCCUUCACUUCCUCAGAAUACCCUCCACACUAUCUAUAAAGUUUGAUCCGAAUGCAUGCGAUUUCUUAUUAGGAAUAACAUACCUACUGACAUCCACUAGUUAAUCGAGGCCAAAGAACGAUUGGCAGGUGAGUUGCAUCUCAAAUUUAUUGCAUACAUGUUUGGUUGUGGUAAAAGAAAUUAUGCAAGAAAACAAAGAGCUCGAAGAAUUUCUGUUGCUUGUCAUAAGUGUGCCAGAAUGAGAUGCGAUAAAAACUCAUGUUCUUUAGGAAUGGUGUCUGAUUAUAGGGAAUACAAGAUUCAAUUCAUUAGGGAUGGCUUGAAUAAGGAGUCAUUGUAUGAUAUCCUUUUGACUCUUGAAACACAUCCCAAUGGAUACGUACAUGGAGCAAUUCUCCAAUUAUGGCCAUCAUUCUAGAAAGAGCGUGAACGAUAUAGUCUCACGAAUCUGACUAUAAACGACCCUGUUUGCCAGUUUAUAAGAAAACUAGAUGAGAAGCCUAUCCUCGACCUAUAAAGGGUGUUCAAGUCGUUUUUGGACGAAAAAUCAGAGGAAGAUGUAAGCCACAAUCGCAAUUACCUCUAAAUAUCCUUUUACUUCACUGUUGUUUUAUCAUUUGCAUUAUUGUCUUUAAUAAUUUUAUUUUAUCAUUGUUUAUUUUUUCCUUUUUGACUCUCGAGCCAUGUGCUUUACACGUUAAUUGACACUGACAUGCUACGUCAUACACAGCUGUGACCCACUGUCACUAAGAUCCUUAAUAUGAUUUCUUUUAAGCACUCAAAAAUUAUUUUUUAGAAAUAUUCCAAUGGCAGCUAGUCAUAAUAAACAAUUCAAGAACAUUUGUGUGCUUUCUGGAUUUAACUAUGACAAACAUAAAGAGUUCGUUGAGGCAGCCAUAGAUCUUGGUCGAAGAAUAAUAAAGAGAAAAUUAUACUUGGUGUUUGUAGGAGGUAAUCGAGAGUUCUAAAAAUUGGUCUCAGAAGCUGCUUAUGUCAGGGGAAGCCAAGUGUUAGGCAUCAUCCCAAGAGCCCUAAAACCUUUGGGCAGUUUGUCUGACUCACCGAUUGGAGAAGAGUUAGUUGUCUCAGGUGUGCAAGAGAGAAUAACUAAAAUGCUAAAUCAUGCUGAUGCUUUUAUUUUCCUACUAGGAGAUCUUGCAACUCUAGAGACACUUAUCAUGUUAGCAUCUUGGGUCUAUCUAAACAUUCACCAGAAACCCAUCGAUUUGUUAAAUGUCAAUAACUUUUAUGACGGCUUUAUCGCAUUUCUUAACUAUACAAUCAAAAACUAUUUCGUUCAUUACACAACAAAAAAAGUUUUUAUUUGUGCUCACAUUGCUAAUGAGCUACUUGAUCUGUUACAAGCUUAUCGACCAAAGCCAGAUCUCAAGACCUUGGUGUUGCAGUAUCCAAAUAAUGAUGGUAGCAAUAGCCACAGUAAGAAAUGCAAAUUAGAUUUAACUCUCCGUUUGUAAAUAUGUUCUUCUGUGUUACACCACAUAGGUGAUGUCUUCUAAACUCUACUUCUUUCUUUUAAAACAUUGAGGACAAUGUUUUGUUCUAGUUGGGGGGGGGGGGGAGAAUAGUUGACAAUUGUGGAAUGUCUCAAUCUUGGUUAAGUUUUUAUUAGUUUUUUGUUGUAGAGACUAACCGCGGCUAACUUUUUAAGUCGAAGAUGGCUGAAUAUGGAGUGUAGUAACUCUAGAAACGCAUCUUUUUGGUUUGGAAGUAAAAAAACAAAAAUCCAGACAUUUUUUUUCUUUAUUAAGCUUUGACAAUUAUUUUUUUUCUAACUUCAUCUUUCUAAUUUCUCCUUUAUAAAUAUACACUUUCAAAUUUUUGAGUCGAAAAUGACUGAAUAUGGAGUGUAGUGACUUUAGAAACGCAUCUUCUUAGUUAAAAAAAAAAAAAUUCAGACAUUUUUUUUCCUAUCAUUUUAAGUGUAACUUUUCUAAUUUGUUUUUCUACAUCGUUUUCACCUUUUUGCAUGCAUAUUUUCUUUUCAUGUUUAGAAUAGGUUGGGGAAUAGAAUGUCGUUUGAAAAAAAAAUUAUGUGAUUUUUUUAAACAUUGGAUGAUAUGAUGACUUUCAAAUUUUAGUAUUUGUAUUAUCUUUGGUCUUAAGUGAUGUUACGCCAUGUUUGCCACUCUAUAUGUUGAUGUCGUAGACAAAUAUGAGUUGCUUGAAGGAAUGCACAUGUCAUAAUGAAUACCAAGUGAGUUUUUAAGCUUGUCAUUUUUCUUGGAGAGUAACCCUUUUUGUCCAUUUUUUAUACAGCUUAGCAGUUUAUUAUUUUAUACACGAUCUCUAGAUUUCCUUUGAGUCAAUCCUAUAAAAAAAGGUUAAAUAAAAUAAAAAGUGAAAAAAAUGUGUUGCUACAUCUGAAAGUCUAUCUAACUAGUAGAUAUGGAAGAUUAUUUAGAGCCCUAAAAGAUGAUGGAAAUGCCAUCUUUGACCCGUUUGAGCAUUUUUAACCAUCCCUUUUGUGAAAUAUCCACAGUUAACCCUUUUGAGCCUUUCAUAUAAAAAAAAAUUUUUUUUUUGGUCAACUUAUCAUCUUGACCUACUCCGAUUUGGAGUAUUACCUGAUGUCUUACAAGUUCCAUAACUUAUUCAUAUUAAGAAAAUAUAAAUAAUUAGUUUGUUUAGUAAAGUUGUGCCAUACAAAAAAAAUUAUUUUUUUUUAAAAAAGAGAAAAAAAUAAUAAAUAACAAAUAAAUGAAAUACACCUUGUAAUUUCCAAAAGAUCUCUACUUUUUCUCAAACAUAUAUUUUGUUUUUCUUAUUUCCACUCUUUUGUUAGCCAUGUCCCUAGCCUACGUUACGUCCUAAUAAAAGUCCUUCUUGAUUUUAGGGAUCUAUAGUCUGAAGUAGAAGCUAGUUAUAUGGGGUAAAAAGAUGUAGUGAUGCAUAAAAAGACAAAUAAAUAAAUACAUUAGUUUGACUAACAUUUUGUUUGACUAAGAUUGUGUUAUUUCUAAGCUGUGGGCAUACUUCUUUCAUCUUGGUGAGAGUGUGUGAUAUCACUUAUUUAUUAUUUUCUCUCAAUUUACCAUUCAUUGAAGCGAUUAUAUUUAUUGGCUUUAAUUUUUUUUUGUGAGAGUGUCAUUAUUACCAAUGAGCUUUUGGGGUUUGACAUAUCAUUCUUGAAAGUGGCUUGAUUACUAUAGCUGUGAUAAAGCUUGCUGGACUGAUGCAUGUGGAUGGUUGAUGUGGGUGUGAUGUUUGUUUAGACUGAAGAUAAUGCUUAUACUUUUAUUUGAUUGCUAUCAUUAGGCUAAUUGAAUAAACACGAUUGUUUUUUAAAAAAAAAUAUUUUGGGUUUGAAUUUUGUCUUCACUUUAUUUGCUAGGAACUAACAAUAAGUUGGUUGGGGGUGUGUUGAGUGUUAGAAAAUUUAUAUUUAUAAAGGAGAAAAUCGUCAUUUUACACUUCAAGUCUCACUAACAUCCCAACUUUAAUAUAUUUAAGUCCCUUGUGAUUUAAUUAUGUGUAUUUUAUUUUAAUUAAGUAUUUUGUGUAUUUUAGGGGCAUCAUGGUCAUUUCACAAUACACGAGAGAUUAGAUAGCAAAACGGAAGGCAAUUUUGAAUUCAGGACAGUCGAAAACCUUAGGAGGAGUAUAAAAGGGUAAACGACACUGUUCACAUGUACGGUACUGUUGUGUUGACCGAUGAAGUGACAUUGACCGAUGACAUGGCACCGACUAAUGAUGUGGCAGCAUUCGAUUGGACAAAUGAUGUGGCAUUCACUGCUUAUGUAGCGUUGACUGAUGAGUUGGCGUUGACCGCUGAUGUGUCACGAUCCUAUUGAACUAAAAUGUUGAUGCGGUGUUGAUCGGUGAUGUGACGGUAUGUUGUUAGGGGACCAAGAAACAUGCAUACGAUACAUGCAUUACACGAAAUGACAGCCUUGAUGAUGUGUUCUAUCCAAUCAGAACUUGCCAUAUGGCUCAAUCUUGAGCGUCCAAAUUGUUUUAAUCCGUGGCCAUGAUUUACUCAUUGUAUCUAUAAAAAGGGGGAUCUCCCCCCUAAUUCGACACCCCUGAAUCCAUUUUUGAGCUCCAUUUUCUGUAAUUCCUUCUCCAUCUUGUAUUUUCUAUGUAUUUUAAUAAAUUUUUAUUUUACCCCUAGUUUAAUUAUGAGUAACUAAUUUUCUUUUAAUCUUAGGUUGAAGGUGAAGUCUCAACAUGUUCCAUGGGCUUUAUUUGGUAAAUUUACUUUCUCUUCCCCUCUAAUAUCUGUGGAUAUUUUGACUUUUCGUCGAUAGAUAGUAAUAAUCUUGUCUAAACGUAGUAGAAGGUUAUUACUAUUUGGCAUGUUAAGCCCUUAGCACCAUAUUUAUUUAAGUGUGGUUCAUGAGGAGUGAAAAUCUCUCUCACGAUUUAAUUGGCAUUAAUAAUGAAUAUCUAGCUCAUGGUGCAUGUUGAUGCAAAUCCAAAUACCCAAGUACUUUAUUUCAAUAGUUUCCAGUUUAAUUUAUUCCCGCUAUUCCAAUUUAAAUUCUAGGAUAAUCUAAAUCAAUUUCGCCACAAAUCCACUAAGAAAAUUAACUCUACACACGAUUAAAAUCCAGCUCCUCUUGGGAUCGACACUCAUCACCGUUGAUCUAUUCUACAAUAUAUUCGUGCACUUGCGAGUUCAAUAAAAUUGGCACAACAAUCAUCAUAUGUUACGUCCUUAGGACGAGUGUGUACCCAAUUAUUAUCAUUAUCAUAGACAUGAUCCCUUUUGCUACCGGUAGUAAGCAUAACUUUGCUUUCCUUUUUAUUAUGUUUAGAUCCUUCCACUCAAUUUUGAAGUAAUUAUCCACGGUAUUCUUCACCUCCGACUAAGGCUUCGUACUCGCCUAAAUGUAAUUGUGGUGGCAAGCCUUCAAUCAAACAGUUUUCUAGAAGUUGUAUCCAUGCAAAAAGUUCCAAUUCCGUCUUCUGUUUGAGGAGACAAAAUUGAUCGAGAAUAGGCAGAGGGAUUCCUCCAUUACCAUUAUGGAAAUGCGUGACAUCAGGAAUAUGAUGGAAAGGGCUAGGGUAGGCUCUACAUUAGGAAUAUGAUGGAAAGGCCCCGGCUCUAGAAGCGAAUUCGAAUCGGCGCUUGAGGCAGAGUUCACAUCCUCAGAGCCCAAGAAAAAAUUUAUAACACUGAUGUCAAGCCCCAAGAGUAAAUUACAAAAAGGAAAAUAAAAAUAAAUAAAACUAAGUCUAACCAAUGGUUUAGUUAAAAAGAUGAUUAAAUGGAAAUGAAAAGUUUUCAUUGUUGUUUUGUUUACUUUCUUCUAUUACGACCAGCGCGGUUGUUUGUAUUUCAUUUUCUUUUCCCAAGCCCUUCUUAGAGCACUUACUAAGUUACUUAGGGAAUCUCAAAUCUCACUGCAUUGACCAUAGUAGCUUGCAUCCAAUGUAUUCUUUUUGAUACUAUAUGGUAUACUGAACACAAACUUAAUCUUGAUAAAAGAAAAAGUGAAGGAAAGUUUCUAAUAAAUAGAUUUCUUGCUUGAUCUCACCUUUACCUUUCAUAUUCCUUGCACUAACAGUCUUAUUAUAUUUGCAAUUUCUUAAGUGAUCUCAUUGAGGAAAUUCAAUAAGUGAUCAAAGAACCCUUUCCUUAUUUGAUUCUUCUUCUCCCUGAACUAUACCUUAAAACGUCUUUGGAUAAGCUCGAGGCUUUUAACAUAUAGUGAACACAAUUUGCCAAGAGUUGGUUGUGACAAAAGUGGUUAAGAUGUCCAUCUUUGGUCAAGAAUGAGUAACAUAUUAGUCAAAGAGAGCAGCUACGAAGAGGAGGUUGUUGAUGCAGUUUUCUUUAUUUGGUGUCAUUCUGAAUCUACAUUGAUUCUGUAUCUAAAAAAGCCAAUGGGCUUGUCUGUCCUCAUUGGUCCAAAGGAAUCAAAGAGAACAAGUAAACUAGGCCCCACGGUGUCUUCUCCCUUAACAGGCUGGACAAAGAUCCCUGGGUUGAAGAAAAUUUUUGACUUCUACUAGAUCACGAAGACGGGCUAUUCUCCGUCUUUUUUUUCCUAGAAAGGAGAUCCAAAUCUCUGAUCAAUGACAUCGCAACCAGGUUGGUCUCAUAGUUAUGCCUUCGGGCAGGACAUGUUGGUCACGAUUUAAUGUGAAAUAUGAAUCAUCUAGUGGUUCGCUCGCUCUAUUAGAGAGAAGAAAACAUAGAAUGAGUAAGACAUGAACUUGCGUUGACAGAGAAGAUAAUUUUGUUUACACUUUUGAGAGUCCAAGAAUUAGAAAGAGGUGGAAUACUUAGUUGUGUUGUGAGACAGGAAAGCCCUCUUACUAUGAAAUCAUGUACUUAUUCAUUUCAUUAGUAGAAGAUCGAGCUAGUUCGUCUAUCACUGUAGUGAGGCAAAGCGAAAGUGCUUGAAAGCAAGUAUCCAUAUCCUUUCUAGCUGGCUAAGGCUGGGCGGAGUGAACCAGUAGCAAAGUUGGGGUUUAACAACAACAUGAAAGAAAUGUUGUUACCAUAAUGAGGUGGAAUACUUUUUAACCCAGUCAAAAGUUAUCUAUAUUUUCCUCGAUUGAGUCUAGUAGAGGAAGGGAGAUAGGAGAUAGGAAUGAAGUGAAGCCACUUCUUAUUUGUGUUUUCACAAUAUUUGAAAAAUGAUGUGAUGAUUUGCAUGUUGCAAGAUUUUUAGUUGCAAGUUGCAUUCUGAGAAUUGAAAAUUGCGUAGAUAAACAACGAGUCCCAGUGAGAUAAUUAUUUCGUAUUGUAGUGAUAAAAGCAACAAAGUAGAUUUGUCUCUAUUAUAGUUUAGCUUAGAAGUGAAGUCGAAGUCCAUUAUAUGUUUUUUUUCUAAGCUUUCAAGCCGGUGAACGAGAUUUCUCUAUCUUCUAAGGGGAGGGGAGCUGGGCAGAAGGGUUUGAUGAUGAAUCAAAGUCCAAAUGUUGAUGCUUUCUAUCCCGUAGCUCAGUGAAAAAAUGAAAUCAAUCUAAUUGAAGAGGACCAAUCCAUCAAUAGCUAUUGCACUAGCCCCCAUUCUCGACCUGGUCUUGACACUUGUGAUACAUUUCUUUAAUUAAUAUAAACAAAAGGAUUUGGUACUCCUAGAGGAUAGAGAAGAUUCGGUCCAUUGUGGUGUCAAUGUCUCUUGAUCAACCUUCCGUAUCGAAUAAGAAAUUUAGUAUUGAAAACAAGAUAAAGGGGGUUGGAUGUCAUUCAAGGAUUACAUCUAGUAAAGCUAAAAGCAUCUACCUGGAUGAUACGAGAGAAAAGUUUAUUCAUCAUUCACGUAUGUAUACCAAAUGAGAUCCAGGAUGAAUUGACUUUAUAUAACUACAAUUUGAUAUGAAAUUAUACAAUAAUAGGUGAGUUGGUACCAACGAGUGCUCCUUUGCUAAAUAAGAUGAAAAAUGGUAACGUACAUAAUUGUGAAAUAACAGAUUUUUUGUUCAGUUGGGCUUGGGCAUAGGGAUAGGACCGCCCAUAUUCAAAGUCAAAGAGAGAGGCUAAGAAGUAAGUGUUUCCGUUACACACCUAUUCUCUUUAUUUCUUUUAGUUGAGAUUGGAAAUAAAAUACUAAAAGUGCCCUACUCCAUCAAUAGGUCGGCAACGACCGGUAGGGAAAACGAUUGGAUAUAGAGUGGAAUGUGGAAUGAAUCCAAAGGCUAAUUUGACACUCUGAUAAUCCCAGGAGAGGAGAGUAGGGAUCCUCCAACCUGAGUUUGAAACUCUGAUAUGUAAAGGAGGAGUCCAACUCCUCCUGAAAUUGUAUUAAUUGUAGAAGAAACUGCAACUUCCAUUAUAAAUUCAGGGAAUUAGAAAAGCCCAAAUCUAUAAAAGACAUAGUGUAUAUUUAUACGACUUCUUCAAGCCCCAGCCCUACUGGAGGAACUACAACUCGUGAUACAAUGCCCACUAGUAAUAAACUUAGACUGUGACUCAUACAAUGGGUCUCGCGGGACAAACAAGGUCUCAAAGGAAAAGAGUAAGCAAGUAGAUCUACAUUAGUUUAAUCUUGUUUGUUAUCUUAGUUGUUGCUUUUGCCUUAUCGAGAAAGACGAACGUGAAAGAACUCUCUUCUUCAUUGACUUCUUUAAAUGACUAAUGUUAACGAAAAGAACCGAAAGGUUAUUCUAUCCAAUCUUCAGUGAUCUCUUUCUCGGCUGAUUUGAAUUCUAAAUUUUAAACAGUUAACAAUACGUUAUUAUGUUCGAUCUAUUCUGGCAAUAAGCUUCAUGUUGGUAGAGAGGGGUGCUUUGAUCUCACUUGGAAAACAAAGCACGGAAUCAGACUUGAGAAGACUGUACCAAAAAUCCUUUAACAGAAUGGUGUUGCAAAAAGGAUGAAUAUAAUAAUUGAAGAGAGAGUCAGGUGUCUGCAUUUUGAUGCCAAGCUUCCUAAAUUAUUUUGGGUAUAGGGUAUGCAUACUGCAGUAAACCAGGGAGAGUUUGGACUCAGAAAGAUGUUUCUUAUAAACAUUUAAGAGUGUUUGGCUGUAGAGCAUAUGUUCACAUCCCUAAAGAUGAGAGAUUGAAGCUUGAUGAUAAAGCCAAGGAAUGCAUUUUCUUAGGCUAUGAACAUAAAGAAUUAAGUGUAGAUUAUAGGAUCUACUAGCAAGGAAGUUGAUUAGAAGUAGAGAUGUUGUGUUCCUUGAAGAUCAGAUAGUUAGUACUGUAGAGAAGAGUAAUGGGUUUAAGUUAUCUUUAGAGAUUCCUUUAUUCCAACUUCAGUUUCUCCAUUUAUACUUCAUGAUGAUCAUGGGGGAGCUAGAGAGGAUAAUAAUGAUAGUCUAAUAAAAGUAGUUGACCAGGUACUUCUAAAACCACCUACACCACUAGUUGAGCCAUAAUUGGGGAGAUCCACCGGAGAACAAUGACCUUCCACUAGAUAUCUUCCACAUGAGUAUGUGAUGCUUACAUAAGGAGGGGAGCCAAAAUGUUUUGAAGAAGCCAUGUCUCACCAGCAUAAAAAUGAGUUGGUUAAAGCCAAGCAAGAGGAGAUGAAAUCCUUGAAUGAGAGGCACACUUAUAACUUAGUAAAACUUCCUAAAGGAAAGAGGGCACUGAAGAACAAGUGGGUUUACAGGUUGAAGAUUGAAAAUAACUCACAACAACGGUACAAGGUUAUAUUAGUUAUGAAUGGCUUUGGUUAGAAGAAAGGUGUUGAUUUUGAAGAAAUAUUUUCUCAUGUGGUGAAGAUAUCUUCUAUCCAAGUAGUUUUGGAAUUAGCAGCUAGUUUGAAUUUGGAUAUUGAACAGCUCGAUAUCAAGACAAUGUUUUUGCAUGGUGACUUAGAGGAGGAAAUAUACAUGAAGCAAUUUGAAGGGUUCAGUGUCAAAGGCAAAGAAGAACUUAUAUAUAAGUUAAAGAAAAGUUUAUAUAGUCUGAAACAGGCACCAAAACAGUGGUACAAAAAGUUUGAUUGUUUUAUGGAGAAUCAUGGCUUCCCCAAGACUAUGUGUGACCAUUGUGUUUUUGUGAAGAAGUUUGAUGAUGAUGAUUUCAUCAUUCUUUUGCUUUAUGUAGAUGAUAUAUUGAUUGUUCGCCAAGAUGCUAGUAAGAUUGGCAAUAUGAAGAGAGAGUUUAGUAAGUCUUUUGCAAUGAAGGGCUUGUGACCAGCGAAAUAGAUUCUUGGCAUGAAUAUUUCUCACGAUAAAAAAUUUGAGAAGUUAUGGUUAUCUCAAGAAGAAUAUAUUGAAAGGGUUCUUCUAAGAUUUAACUUAGGUAAGGCAAAAAUUGUUUGUUCUCCACUUAUAAGUCAUUUUAAGCUUAGUUCUGAGGAUUGUCCUACAAGUGAGAAAGGGGAAAAAAAAAGUUGAAAGGAAUUCCUUAUGCUUCAGUAGUUGGUAGUUUGAUGUACGCCAUGGCUCGUAGAAGACUAGCUAUUACUCAUGCAGUUGGUGUAGUCAGUCAGUUUCUCUACAAUUCGAUCAAAGAAGAACUGGACAACAGUAAAGUGGAUUAUUAUAUAUCCUAGAGGCACUCAUAACAGCCCAAACUUCAACAGUGUGGUGCUUGUUCUACCACUGAAGUAGAGUAUAUUGCAAUCACUGAAGGUUGGAAAGAAACCUUGUGGAUGAAGAAUUUUCUACAAGAGUUCACUACAAUAAUUAUGGCCUUUAGUAGCAUUUAUAUUGUAGCAUUUAUUUUAAGAAUGUUACCAAAUAUCAAUUUAUUAUAACGUUUUACAAAAUGAUGCUACCUUUGUAAUAUGACAACCAUUACAUUUCGUUUUUAAUGACAUUUGAUCAUUACUAGUAGCAUUUUUGCAUAUGCUACAUAUAAUAUUGAAUUAUAUAGCAUUUAGGAAAUGCUACAAUAUAACAUUAAAUAAAGUAGCAUUUGAAAAAUGUAAUGGAAGAGUACAAAAUAUAAUAAUAUUUUAAAAUAGCAUUGAUAACAUUCUAUUGGUAGCAUUUUGAUUGAUAAAAUAAAUUAGUAUUUGAAAAAUGCUACAAGAUAAAAGGAUUGAAAUGUUAGACCAUCAAUAUCUAUUGGUAGCAUUCUAAAAUUAUGCUAUAGAAUAUUAAUUAAUAAAGAUAACAUUUUUAAAAUGCUACAAGAUAGUAGUAGAUAUAAUAUCAUUGUUUUUGCUAGAAAAUGCGGUAGCAUUACCACAUUUUAAAAAUAUAUAAAACAAUGAAAAGACAAUAAACCCAAUUUAAAAAAUGAAAAAAAUGGAGUGAAAAUAAAACUAAAGAUGUAGAAAAUGGGUAGUUUUAGUAUAAGACAAGUACCUACAAAAAGGGGUAAGUUCAGAAGAAGGUGGUACCUUAAAAAGAAAAAACAAAAACAAACAAAAGGCGCCUACAUUAUUUCCCUUCCCACUACAGCUUUAUAGAGAAUUCUCCUCUAAUGUCUAUUCUCCAUUCUAAUACUCACUAAAUCUCAAAAAGGAAAAAGGGAAAAAGAAAAGAAAAAAAUGGAUGACGAUUCCCUGGCCACUUCACAUAUAUUUUCUGACUUGAGAAAGAUUAGGCUGGCUACUCGGUAAUUUAGAAGUGAUCUAAUUGAUUUGGUAAGGAUUCUCACUCAUGCAACUUCAAUUUCGCUACUAUACCCAUGGCCGAAACAAGUAUAUAACCCCAAUUUGGGUGCUCUUUCUUCCAUCUACAUGAGCAAUUAAUGAUUAAAAUGAUUUAUUUACUAUUUGUAUUUGGGUUUGAUGAUUGAACAUUUAAAAGGAAAAAUCAUGCUAUCUUCUUAAUUAUUUGUGGAUUAUUGAUAUUUUUAUAACUUAUUUUUUUAAUCUCUAAAUCCCUAGCAUUCUAGCAAUAUUUACUAUUAGUUGCAUCAGUCUAUUGUUUUUAGCUUAUUUGCUAUUAUUAUACCUUGACUGGUUAUGAUUUCUUUCUCUCCUGAGCAAAUUAAUCCUGGGUUUUGAUAUAUUUUGUAAUCGUUAGUAUUAACACAAUUUUAAUUCUAGAAUCUCAAAUUUAUUGUUUGCUUGGUAUAGUCUUAGCAUUUGAUGGAGGAAUUAUCAGCUUCCCACUCAAUAGAUUUGUAGCAAUGUGCAUAUCAACACUGAAGUAGGUUUAGUAAACAAACUUAAGUCCCAAUAUAAUUUUCUGGCAUUGUUUAUUUCAUUUUAAUAUUUUUCAAAACUUGUUUAGGGGCCAACAUCUCUUUAACAAUUAUUAAAGUUUUUGCAUUAUAAAUUUUAUGGGUUGUGUUCUUAAACUAACUCAUAUUUUUUGUGUUUUAUAUGUGUAACUUGGGGAAAAUGAGCAAGAAAAAAUGAAGUUAAGACCUGAUAAUAUCUUAUCAAUAAGUGAGUGGAAAAGUUUUGUGAAAGAAAAAGAAACGGUGAAAAAUUUAAGAUAAGUGUAUUACUAUAUUAGAAUAUGUAAUUGUAGCUAUAUCUAUGUAACUGAACAAAGCUUAUUCAAUUGUGUAGGAAAGAAAUGAAAUAUUUAGAAAGAUUUGCUAGACACAAAUCCCAUAAACAACAAGGCAUAGAUGAGUUGUUAGAAUGACGGAAGAUAUGGUUAAUAUAUAUAUAUAUAUUUCCAUAAUAAAAAUUUAGCUAAGCAAUCAUUUCUUAAAUUAUUUUCUAUUAUAUAAAAAAAGUAGUAUUAUUUUGAAAAUAAUUGUCCAAUAUGGGAAAGCUAGUUGAAGAGCUACAUAAAAAGGCGGCAAGCAUGUAUUAUGUUUUAUUCACUUUUAUAUAAUUGUUAUAAUAUUUAGUUAUUGAGUUUUUAUUUUUCAUUAUAGAGUCAUUUUCAUGAAAGCCAAGCAUGUAGGAAUCCUCCAAAAAUACCAUUGACUUCUUUACUGGUAAGAAUACUAUUUACAUUUUAAAUUCAAUUAAAGCAUGAAAAAUAAAAAUAUUGAAGGAUUAUCUUUAAUGAUAAUAUAUUUUUGGUUUUUAAAUUGUCCUUGUAUUGCAAUUGAAGAGUGUGAAGGUAUUCCCAAAAGUGACUAAGUGUAUAAUGCUUGAUUUAGUGGGGUGUGAUGUUGUUGAAGGGCAUUGGUCAUCAAGUAAUCUAAAUGCACUUGUUCAUCACAUUCCUCUUGGUUCUAAUACCAUAAGAGUUUUGCAUGGAUCUAGUAAUGCAAUCUCUAAAGCUUUAUGUAAAGUAAUGCUUCAUAUGUCUACAAUUGAAACAUUUGUUGGGAGUACAAUUAUGUGGCCUCCUAAUGAGUUGUCUUGUUUCUUUCCAAAUAGCUUUUCCAAUUCAUCUAUUUGGGUAAUUUUUUUCACUUCCUUUUCUUUUUUACGUCGACUUUAUAUAUUUUAAUAUUAAUAGCGAAUUUGAUCUAGUUUGCAGCUAUAAGAAAGUAACUUCGCAUUUUGCUACUUUGAGAAGGUCCUUAUUAAUAUUAUUAUUAUUUUUCAAUUAAGUGAAGCUUGGCUUUUUAGAUUUUUUUUUCGUUCAUUUACUUUGAGCAAUUAUUUGGACAAAUAAUUGUUUUAUUCAUUUUCACUAGGAGCCAUAUGCCAAGGCUUCACCAUGGCCAUUUGUUUUUGAAAUGUUGAUCUUGGCGGGUUGUGAUUUAGCUUUUCUUGUAUUCUUCUUAUUACUUUGAUUCUUAUUGCUUAUCGUUACAUUAUAGCUUAAUCUCCUAAUAAAUGAAAAUAGAUCUUUUCCUCCUUUAAUGCAAAGAUAAAUGUUCGUUACUUUAGAUUUUCAAUAUUGUUAUUUUUAUUUGUACUUACUAACAGAACAUUAUUUUCCUUCUCAUUUUUUAAAGCUUUAUUAUUUAUUUUUUUUAUGUCAAAAUGUAACUAUGUUUUUGUGUUCAAUUCAUGAUGUAGGUUGCAAAGAUCAAGUAUAUUUUGUAAAGAGUAGAAGGCAAGUUGUGGAUGUAAUAACAACUUUAUUUGGUUUAAUUCAUGGGGAGAAAAAGUGCAAGUAUGACAUGAACAUAAUUUUUUUGUUUAAAUCUUUUUGUGUUCUUGGAGGUAUAUGAUCAUGUGAUUUUGGAUGCUUAUAUAUAGUUAUUGUGAUUAAUAUAUAGUGACUGUUUUUUUCCCUUAACGAAUGAUAGAUUACAUGUCAAAUUGUUUAGGAUUUGAUAUUUAAAGUUAUCUUUGGUGAAUAAACAUUUCAAUGUGAAUUUAUCAAUUUAAACAAAUAACAUUGAACAACCAAAAAAAGAUUAUCUGCUAAGAUUCAUAGCUUUUUACAAAUACUACAAUAGAAAAAUUUAAAAUUAUUCAUAACAUUUACAAAUAGCUACAUUACACAUAUUUUAUUUAAUUUUUUUACUAAUCAUAAAAUUAUUAAAAUGUUAUAAUUAUUAUUAAAAAUGCAUUAUCAGAGUGCUAUGAAAGGCAGGUGGUAGCAUUAUAAAAUGGCUCUUGUAGCAUUUUUUGAAUGUUAUAUAUAAAAUUUAGUAUCAUUUCGUAAAUGCUACAAAUUGUACAAUGAUAGCAUCUGCAUGAAGCUACAAAAUAAUAUUCAGUAGCCAUUUUUAAAUGUUAUGUAUUCAAAUUGUUAGCAUCCAAUAGAUGCUACUAAAUGGUAAGUGUAACACCCCAAAUCUAACACGUGUGGAGCACGUGAAGAAGGAGGUUACUUACAAAUCAUAAUCUAUACUCAUAAGUUUCAAACUGAAAUACCUCCAAUCUAAUUCAAACAAAAAAAUUACAAAUUCAAACGUCUAAUACUAAAUAAUCUCUCCCGAGGACAUAAAAAUAAUAACAAAAUUCUCAAACUUCAAAUUACACGUUCAUAAUAGAAGUAACUAAAUAGAAACACAAGUCUAUUCCUCCUCUUAUUCAAAUAGCAACGGAAACAGAAAAUUACUAACUCCAAAGUUAAGCGCCUCUCUCAAAGAAACUUAAUCUGCAAAAAGUAAUGACGAGGGGUGAGCCGUCAACUCGGUAAGUAAAGCCAUUUAUAACAUACUAGGCCUAUCGAUACAAAAAAAAUAUUGCAAGCCUUCUUUUAUUUAAAACAUAUAUCAUAAUCCAUAAAUUUCAUAAAACGAUAUAUCACGAUAACAUAACAUAAAUUCUUAAUAAUUCAGAAUAUUCAAAAGCAUAUUUACUUACGAAGCAAAUCAUAUCAUACAUAUACAGAAAACAAAAGGUUAGCUCUUGUCACAUAGUGUCACCUAUAGUCCCGGUGACCCGGCCAGAAACAGAAUCAGAAUAUCGUGUGCACACUUAGAACAGAAACCCAGUACUGGUCUAGACAGAUAUAUCGUAUAUUACGAUCAGAAUCAGAAUCAGAAUAACUAUGGACAAUGAGCCAAAACAUUAGGAAUCUCAUACAAUCAUCAGUAAUCGAAAUCAUAUAUGGGUACAAAACAUUCGUAUCAGAUUUAUAAAAGUUCAUAACAAUAAUUUAGGCUUGCAUAACAUUUUAAAGAUAAAAUCAUAAAAGAUUGUCAUGUCAUAAAAUCAUUUACAUAUUAAAAAGCAUUUAUAAAAUACUUUGUUUAAAAAGAAUUUAGCUUUGAAAACAUUUACAUAAAACUAAUUUUGUUAUCAAAAUAAAUUAAUCCUUUAAGUAGUAUAAAAUAUUUAUACUUAUAAUAAUAAUAUCAAAAUACUUAUACACAUCCAGUAUACUAGGAAUGAAGUUACUUACCUCGACAAAUGAAUGAAUAAACACACCUCUAAGCUUCUAAGAGCCUCAAUCACCUUCAAUACCUUAAAGAAAUACAAGAUAUGACAAUCAAUAACUUAUUUUAAGAAUCUGAUUUUCUAAUUCAUACCCGUACAGGUCUGAUUCUCAGAAUUUCAACUCUUAAUCUAAGAUUCAGAAUGAUAUAAUAUCAUAUGGAACUAUUCUGGACAUCCAUGAGUACCCCAUGUAAAAUUUACAAGAGGAUCCGAUAUCAAAAACAUUUUAAAAACUAUUUAAGAAACCCUAUUUAAUAAGGAAAAAUAACCCUUUUCCAAAAUUAUCUCAUAAAUAACCUCUAUUUAAUUAAUACCCCUUUCUUAAUAAUGGUUAUAGGCCACCCAUAAUUCUCAAUGAAAGCCCAAUUUCCAUAAUUUAAUAUGUAUGGGAAUUUGUGGCGUUACAGUAAGACUUUUAGUUAUAUGGGCAAACUUGGCAUUAUUUUAAAUGCUACCAUAUAUCUUUUUUGUUGUAGUGAUUGGGCGUGAAUCAAGACAACUUUAUUGUGUACUGCGACAAUCAGAGUUCCAUUCACUUGGCAAAGAAUUCGACAUACCAUUUGAAAUGCAAACAUAUUGAUGUGAGGUAUCAUUACAUACGAGACGUGCUUGAAAAGAAACAAUUGCAGCUUGAGAACAUACACACAACGGAGAAUAGGCCAGAUAUAAUGAUAAAGAUGUUGCCCAAGGAGAAGCUGAAAAGCUGCAAGCAAAGAGCAGGCUUAGUGGUGCCCUCCACAUGAUCUGGAGGGGGAGAUUUAUUGGGUCCAUCUCAUUUUGGUGGCCCAAGCCCAAAUUGCAUUAGUUUAGGCAGCUAAGUAAUUAAAGAAAAACAACAUGGGGUUAAAUGAAAUUUGCCUUUGAAAUAGGUUUUGUGAUUCAUAUGGCCAUAUAAAAGAAAAGAAAAGCAAACAGUAGCUGCAUACUAAAAAGAAAAAAAGACAAGAGAGAGAAAGAGAGAGUAGUGGCGUUUUCUCUAGAAUUGGGAGCAAGGUUUUCAAUGUUUGAUUGGACAAUCGGAAGCUGAUUUUGACUUCGUUUUCUCCCAACUUUUGAGAGUAAGUUUCUGGUAUCGCCUUCUACAAUCAUACUGGUCUUGAUUUUUUUUUAUCCUCUUGUUGUCUAUUAUUUGAGAUACCCACUUGUUAGAGAGACCGACAUUAGUCUGUUAUUGUAACCACGAAUAUCGAGAUUCUUGAUAUUGUUAGCCUUUAAUAUUAUUUAGAGAGGAAUUUGUGCUGUAAUCCCAUUAAUAUAGUUGAAGAUUAUAUCGAACUACGGUCCCGUAAUUUUUUCUAUUUUGGGUUUUCAUGUAAAAUCUGUGUCUCUUAUGGUUGAUUUAUUACUUCAGAUUUUGUUGGUUUAUUUUUCUGCCUAUUUAUUUAUAGUACACAUCUUAUUUUAAUCACACAAAAAGAGAAAGAUGUUUGUUUCUGCUUCAUUUACAAUUGCUUUUGUGAGUUCCUUUCUCAACAAGCUAUGAUUUAAAAAACAAUUACAAAAUUAUUUGGAGUGUAAAAUAAACUCAAAAAGUUUUAAAAUUUUACACAUAGCUUAUUACAUGUAUCUAGUAUUCACAAUUUUAAUUUCAUAAUUUUUUUAUUAAUAUAUAAUUUUAUAAAAAUCCUGGAAUACAUAAUGUUUUAGUUAAAGCACUGUAAAAUAGUUUUGAAUUUGUCAUAAAACAAAUAGCUUUGAAAUUUUUUUUGGUAUCAGUUCAUCAUGAAGAUUUUAUGGGAGAUACUUAUGGUUGUCCACCAUAGUUCGUCAUUCCAAUUAUUAUUUUAAGAGUAAAAGUUCAAAGAAUCAGACCUGUAGGAUAUGGGUUAGAGAAUCAAGAUGUUGGAAUUAGUUGUUAGUCGCUACAUUUUGAAUUGUUUAAGGUGUCUGAGGCUGAUUGGAGGCUUAGAAGUGUGUUUAAAUAAUUUCUUCUAUCAAGGUGAGUAACUCCACUCCUAAAGCACUAGAUUUGUGUGACUCUAUUGAUAUCUUAAUAUUAUUGUAAGUAACAUCAUUUCUAGUGUACUGGAUAUCUAGAGUAUUGGAUAUGUAAGAUAGUUUUGAUAUUUUAACAUUAUUACAAGUACAUGUGCUUUUUUUAGUUCUUCAAAACAAAAUUAUUUAUGUAAGUGUUUUAAUAUAAUUUUGAUAGAGUGCUAGAUUUGUGUGAUUAUAUUGAUAUCUUAAUAUUAUUGUAAGUAACAUUAUUCCUAGUGUACUGGAUAUUUAAGAUAAUUUUGAUAUUUUCAUAUCUUUACAUGUGUUUUUUUUUUAAUUCUUCAUCAUAAAAUUAAUUCAUGUAAAUGUUUUCAAAUAUGAAAAUUAUGUUAUUUUUAUGGAUCUAAUAGAAUAUUAUUAAUGCCUUUAAAUAUGUAAUUUAUUUUGUUACAUGACUAUCUUCUAUGAAUUUGUCUAUGAAAUAUUACAAUGGAAUUUAUUUUGCAAUCCUAAAUCAUUGUUGAUCUUUUAUGAAUUCGAUAUAAAUAUUUUAUUCACAUAUACGAUUGAGAUUAUUUAUGAUUGUUUGGGGGCCAGAGUGCCCCGAAGUGCUACAUAGUACCACAUGCAAGUCGUGACGUAUGGAAAAUGAAUUUAAAUAUUUUGGCUCAUUGUCUAUAGUUAUUUUUAUUUUGAUUCUGAUCGUAUAUAUCAUAUAUAUGUUCUGGACCAAUACUGAGUUUCUAUUUUGAGGGUGCACACGAUAUUCUGAUUCUGAUUCUAUUCUGGCUGGUCACUGGGAGUAUAAGUGAUAUUUUGUGACAUGAGCUAAUCUUUUGUUUCCUGUAUUUAUAUCUUAUACGAUUUGUUUUUGUGAUUAAUUAUGACUUUGAUAUCUGUAGAGGGCAUUUGAGUCACUUCUUGAGAGGUGUGUUUAUCGUUGGAGGUGGAGAUUUAUUUACUUGCUAGUUGAAUAAAAGAAUGAUGAAUUUCUAUUUCCUUUAAGCUUGUUAGUGUUCUAAACUUAUAAUUGGGGAGUUUUGAGACUUUUGUUACAUUUAUGAUUUGCGAGAAUAUGUCAAGUAUUCAACUUGUGGAUUUGUUGAUUUGUUUAAUAAAGUUUGAGGUAUUUCAAUUUGAGAUUUUGUGUAAGGAUUUCGAUUUGUAUGUAACCUUCUAUUACCAGGUGUUAAAUUGGGGUGUUACAUAACCACAACUAUUGGACUCUUUUUCAUGNNNNNNNNNNNNNNNNNNNNNNNNNNNNNNNNNNNNNNNNNNNNNNNNNNNNNNNNNNNNNNNNNNNNNNNNNNNNNNNNNNNNNNNNNNNNNNNNNNNNAAAGAAAAGAUAAAGAAAGAAAGAAGAAGAUGAUGAGAGAGAGUGAGAAAGAGAAUGAGAUUGGGGAUUAAGAAGAUGAAAAGUUAAAUUUUUAAUGAGUUUCUUUACAUGGAUUAAUGAACUUUUAUUUUUUACCAAGAAAUUGAAAUGAUUUUGAGUAAACCAUCAUAAAUUAUUUAAACUUUGACAAAUUCUAUAUCCUCGAAAUAGAAAUAUGAAAAUUUACUGUAUGCAUCUUUAAAUAUUGUUUUGCUAAAUAAGAAUUAUGUUAUGACAUGAUUUUUAUACUCCAUCCAUGUCUGAAUUUCAGUCUGAUAUCAAGUUUCAAAUAACAAAAUCAAGUGAUUUUGAGUAAAGUAUUUAUGGUAGUAAAAUUGGUAUUUUAAAUUUGUAGAACCUUUUUUAGUCUUACUAAGGCUACAAUAGUUUUGCUUUUGAAGAUCAAUUUUAGGAAAAUUUAGCAUGCAUAUUCUUAAAAUCCAUUUAAUUUAUUCAUGAUUAUGUCAAAAUGGAGAAGACCAAUUUUAGUAAGUUUCUAGCAUGCAUGUUCUUAAAAUCUAUUUAAUUUAUUCAUGAUUAUGUCAAAAUGGGGAUGUUAUUAGCUAGCAUUGUAAUUAGAUAAAUGUAUUGUUAUUUUUUGCUUAAGAAGUAAUGUCAACAAGAAAAGAAUCAUCAGUGAACUUACUUUAUGUUGCUUAGAGUGCGGUAGGCAUAUUAUGUGCUUUCAGAGAGUUUUGGUUUUCAACUUAUUGAACAAGACCAAAACCUUCAACAGGUACUGGACCAACUUAUUGAGAAGGAACAAGUACUAGACGACACCACAAGUUCAUUAUUAAUAGAUCAAUUUAACUAUGCUAUGCCCCCCUUCUUUGCCACCGGCACACUUUCAGUAUUGAAUUCAGGUGCCAGAACAAUAUCCUCUAAAGCAAUGGGCAUAGUCGAGCUCGUAGUGUCUGUCUCUGUCUCUGUCACAGUCUAACCUAACUGUUCAGCCAUUUCCUAUUAACGAUCAUAGCAUAGCUCCUUCUCAGUAGGUCUACUUGUGACAAUUCUUUCUAACUGAGAGUCUGAAAUAAAAGUCGUCUUUUAGGGCAUCUCAUAAGAACCAUAUUCAUUAUGUCAAAAAUAAGAGAUUCUAGUACUUCGACUAGCAUUAGUUUUCAAUAGAUUCCCAAAAAGAUGUACAAGUCUCGGUAUUCUAAUUGUACUUAUGGCUAGUUAUAGUUUGAGUCUCGCACCUGUGCCAAGUGGUAAUAGCAAGCAGGCUGAGUUCCUUUCUCGUCUCAGACUUAUAAUUGAUUUAUCAGCGACAACAUCAAAUCAACAAAGAUUUGGUGUUACCUGAACAUCAUCCCCCUGACCUUGAGACGUUUGGAAUGGAAGAAUAAUCUGAGUUUGCCUAUACCAACCACAUGUUUUCAUUUUAGAGAGAAUCUUAUUCGGGAUCAAAAGACGGCUAAGGCCUAACGUUGUUAGAGGAGACCUUCUCUUACUGGCAUUCACUUGGAGCUCUCUUUUUAGGGCAACCCUUUCACCGAUCUUCAAAUUGUAUGAGAAGUUGUACUACUAACUCUGUCUACGAUGGGUGAGUGUCGAUUUCAUUACAAACAUAUAUUAACGUAUAUAGAAUAGAAAUAGGAGCAGCUAUUGCCCACUGAUGUUAGCGUAAAGGUCCUUAGUCAAACAUAAGGAUCUUAUUCAUUAAAGGAUGGAAAACGAAGGUAAACCAAGAGUACCGAAACUCAUCAACAAGUAGGCAUGUCCAUUACUAAAUCUUUAAGUAUUAGUAAUGCUACUAGGCACUAGACAUAUCUUCCACUACUUUCAAUCGGGAUAAAUAACUAUUUAAGUGGAAAGGCCUAUCUAUACGGUUCAGUUCUCUCUAGACUUAACCAAUUCGACUAGGGUAGCCUGUUUAGGUGUUAGAUAGUGUCUUCUUAGCCUUGGAUUUUCUUACCCUUAGAUUUUUUCUUCUUUAUGGAUUGCAAUUGUUUGGUUAUAGCCGGCACCGUAGAAAUCUUAGCAAACCUUUUCCUUUUUUGCAGGAGCUCAAUUUUGGAUGACAUCUCUUAGAUAUCAUUCUUCAGCUUCUCUUUUUCUUGAUUGAGAAUUUUAUCACCUAAAACAAGUUCAAUCUCAAUUUGAGAAUUAAGUGAGGUAUCAUUGUUGAGUGUUAGAAAGUGUAUAUUUAUAAAAGAGAAAAUCAUAAUUUUACACUUCAAGUCUCACUACAUCCAUACUUGUAUAUAUUUAAGUCCUUUGUGAUUUAAUUAUGUGUGUUUUAUUUUAAUUAAGUAUUUUAUGUAUUUUAGGGGCAUCAUGGUCAUUUCACAAUGAACAAAAGAUUAGAUAGCAAAGCAGACUGUAAUUUUGGACUCAGGCAGUCGAAAACCUUAUGAGGAGCAUAAAAGAGUAAACGGCACUGUUCACAUGUACGGUACUGUACAUAGGACUGUUCACGACACUGUUCACAACACUGUUCACAUAUACGGUCUGAUGACAUGACGUUGACCGAUGACGUGGCUCGACCGAUGACAUGGCACCAACCAAUGACGUGGCAGCAUUCAAUUGGACGAAUGAUGUGGCAUUGACUGCUUAUGUGGCGUUGACUGAUGAGUUGGCAUUGACCGAUGAUGUGUCACGAUGCUAUUGAACUAAAAUGUUGAUGCGAUGUUGAUCAGUGAUGUGGCAGUAUGUUAGUGGACCAGGAAACGUUCGUACGAUACAUGUAUUACACAGAAUGACAACCUUGAUGAUGUGUUCUAUCUAAUCAGAACUUGCCACGUGGCGCAAUCCUAAGCGUCCAAAUUGUUUUAAUCUGUGGCCAUGAUUUAAUCAUUGUAUCUAAAAAAGGGGGCUCUGCCCCCCUAAUUCGACACCCCUAAAUCCAUUUUUUAGCUCAAUUUUCUGUAAUUCCUUCUCCAUCUUGUAUUUUCUAUGUAUUUUAAUAAAUUUCCAUUUUACCCCUAUUCCAAAUAUGAGUAACUAAUUUUCUUUUAAGCUUAGGUUGAAGGUGAAGUCUCAACAUGUUCCAUGAGCUUAAUUUGGUAAAUUUACUUUCUCUUCCCCUCUAAUAUCUGUGGAUGUUUUGACUUUUCGUCGAUAGAUAAUAAUAAUCUUGUCUAGACGUAGUAGAAGGUUAUUACUAUUUGGCACGAUAAGCCCUUAGCAUCAUAUCUAUUAAUAAGGAAUAUCUAACUCAUGGCGCAUGUUGAUACAGAUCCAGAUACCUAAGCACUUUAUUUCAAUAGUUUCCAGUUUAAUUUAUUCUCGCCAUUCCAAUUUAAAUUCUAGGAUAAUCUAAAUCAAUUUAACCACAAAUCCAAUCACCCACUGAGAAAAUUAACUCUACACAAUUAAAAUCCACCUCCUGGUGGGAUCGACGCUCAUCACCAUUGAUUUAUUCUACAAUAGAUUCGUGCAUUUGUGAGUUCAAUAAAAUUUGUACAACAAGUUUUUGGCACCGUUGCCGGGGAGGUAAGUUUUUUUUUAAUUCGUAGAAUUAAUUUUUGUAAAUAAUUUCUUUUAGUUGUUUUCUUGUAAUUUUUUUUCUUAUUAAAAAAAAAGAAAAAAAGUGAAUCUGCAUUUUAAGGUAAGAAUUUCUUUUCUUUUCUGUUCUUUAAAUUUUUGUAAUUUAGUUUUCAAGUUAUUUUUCUUUGUAAUUUCUCGUUUAUCUUGUUAAUUUAUU
Molecule: long non-coding RNA, 35827 nt
Filed under: Citrus x clementina
Lineage: Eukaryota; Viridiplantae; Streptophyta; Magnoliopsida; Sapindales; Rutaceae
Description: Citrus clementina (C. clementina) long non-coding RNA (CCLE_LNC005166)
Source: RNAcentral